Long non-coding RNA from Pan troglodytes (chimpanzee), 223 nucleotides. RefSeq lists it as uncharacterized. The record is from RefSeq and is a predicted model, not a curated record. Lineage: Eukaryota; Metazoa; Chordata; Mammalia; Primates; Hominidae. The transcript has 2 exons.
UUUUGGAAGCUACUGUUUUGUCAUCAAAUGCUACCGUUGCUCUAGAUGACAUCAGUGUGUCCCAGGAAUGUGAAAUUUCCUAUAAAUCACUACCAAGGACCAGUACACAAAGCAAGUGAGCUGAAUGGACUAAUCAAGAAAAAUUUGGGUCACAUGAUUCUGGAUUGAGACGAUUAAAGAACUUUUAAUUAAAGGUCCUUUAUUAAAGAUAUUUUUCAUUCGA